GUUCCUGUAGUUGAGAUUUGACAACAAUGGCUUUUCAGGCCGUAGGUCUUGGAGAAAAGCCAAGCGGGAAUU
Molecule: transfer RNA, 72 nt
Filed under: Tringa ochropus (green sandpiper)
Lineage: Eukaryota; Metazoa; Chordata; Aves; Charadriiformes; Scolopacidae
Description: tRNA-Glu
Rfam family: tRNA
About the family: Transfer RNA (tRNA) molecules are approximately 80 nucleotides in length. Their secondary structure includes four short double-helical elements and three loops (D, anti-codon, and T loops). Further hydrogen bonds mediate the characteristic L-shaped molecular structure. tRNAs have two regions of fundamental functional importance: the anti-codon, which is responsible for specific mRNA codon recognition, and the 3' end, to which the tRNAs corresponding amino acid is attached (by aminoacyl-tRNA synthetases). tRNAs cope with the degeneracy of the genetic code in two manners: having more than one tRNA (with a specific anti-codon) for a particular amino acid; and 'wobble' base-pairing, i.e. permitting non-standard base-pairing at the 3rd anti-codon position.
Source: RNAcentral